RNAcentral lists this ribosomal RNA (121 nucleotides) under Cebus imitator (Panamanian white-faced capuchin). Lineage: Eukaryota; Metazoa; Chordata; Mammalia; Primates; Cebidae. The record is from RNAcentral.
GUCCACGGCCACACCACCCUAAGGCACCCACGAUCUCGUCUGAUCUCGGAAGCUAAGCAGGGUCGAACCCGGUUAGAAUGUGGAUGAGAGACCAAACUGCCACCGCACGGGGCUUUCUUCC